UACGUAGGGGGCGAGCGUUGUCCGGAAUUACUGGGCGUAAAGGGUGCGUAGGCGGCUUUAAAAGUCAGAUGUGAAAUACCCGGGCUUAACCCGGGGGGUGCAUGUCGAACUGCCAGGCUAGAGUAUGGUAGAGGGGUGUGGAAUUUCCGGUGUAGCGGUGAAAUGCGUAGAUAUCGGAAGGAACAUCAGUGGCGAAGGCGACACCCUGGACUGUAACUGACACUGAGGCACGAAAGCGUGGGGAGCAAACAGG
Molecule: ribosomal RNA, 253 nt
Filed under: uncultured bacterium
Lineage: Bacteria
Description: partial 16S ribosomal RNA
Rfam family: Bacterial small subunit ribosomal RNA
Source: RNAcentral